GACAAUAAUUAAUGGAAAAUUUUCAAUUGAAAAAGCAUGACUUUAAUGAAUACUAAAUAUGGAAGAGUGGAAAAACUUUUCUUUUAUGUUUUUGUUUUGUUUCAUUUUUUUUUUCAAAAUUUCAAGCUUUGAUUUUAGUUAUAGAUUUGAUUAUUUUAUUGAUGGUAGAAGCAUUUUUAUUUUUUUGUUCAUUUAUUUGAACAUGUAAUAUAUUUUUAAUAAAUGACGGUGUUCACAAUAUGACUUUAAAAUUCAUAUAAUAUGAUUUCAAACAAAAUAAUUAUAUUUUUUGGUAUAAAACCGAAUAAACCGAAAACCGACGGUAUAUAAACCGAACC
This 338-nucleotide long non-coding RNA is filed under the name Brassica rapa (field mustard). RNAcentral describes it as "long non-coding RNA (BRAP_LNC001858)". Lineage: Eukaryota; Viridiplantae; Streptophyta; Magnoliopsida; Brassicales; Brassicaceae. The record is from RNAcentral.